AUGUUGUCUGUUAGUCACCAUUCCUCCCCAUCUGUUGACAUUGACUAUUUGACUGACUCUGUCAUUUCUAAUCACUGUUUUCUGCUUCUUUAUGCUUCUUUUUGUCUGUUUUUUUCUUUAGGGUUGAGUCACCGUACUGAUAUCCUCACAAACUGCUGGCCAAAACAUCCCACUGACUCGUUUCUUCAUGAUCCACUCGUGCUGGAAGGAGUGCACAGGUGGAUCCUGUUGGCUUCUCCAAAAGUCUUCAACCGAUCAACCAACCCAACAUCCCCAACUCUUUUCUCACAAGAUUUGGAUUUUAAAAUUCUAAUUUGGACUUAAUUUAUUUGUUUGAACGCCCCUUCCAGCUGAAUGAUCUCCUUCUGUCCGUAUCCGGCUUCAUUUGUUGCUGACAAACAUUGUUUUUUUUGGCUAAAAUGAAAAUGUUUUCUGGAGAAAAGCUGAUAGACUGAUGCCUUUUUUUUAUCUACGCGGUGGAAAUCCGAGAACAUCCAAACAUCUAUGCACACGGGUGACCGCACAAGCACAGCCACCCACGUGGACCUUCAGUAGUCUGAGUCAAAAUGAUACGUACCAAAGAAAAGCCUCUGUGGUCGGAUUACUCUCACUGCCUGUGCCAGGUGGGUGGAGCUUCUGUGAUAGAAAACACUUGAAAUACAGCGGAGGGUUUUGUUGUUUUUUGGCAGAACUUUUCAUUCUGAACACUGAUGUUUGUCCUGUGAUUACUGCUGGAACUGCGUUUAAGAACCAGUUCGUGCUAAAAUGACUACAUUUUUUUACAUUUUUCCUACUUGUUCUUUUUAUCUUUUCUUUUUUCUCAUUACUGACUACAUUUUUUUUUUAAUUAUUCCCAAUAGUCAUUUUUCUUAAGUUGAACCCAACACAAGAGGGACAGGGGGCUGUUGAUAAGCUACCUUGCCCAAGUAACUGUAUAUUUAAAAAAAAAAAAAGAAAAACAUGAAAUUGCGUCAAAGUUUGACGUAAGGACACAAACUUUAAAUGAUUAAAAUGUGAGCAAACUGUAACGUUUAAGAACUGAGUAAGUUACAUACAAUUAUAUUUAAUGUAAACAGUAUUUUGAAAAUUGAGCAAAUAAAUGAAACAUGGGUCAAACAAAACCCGUUUUUGUCCAUUGAAGUGUUCACUCCAACUUCUCAACUAUUAAAGCAUUUAAGCGGAAUUGUAGGCUUAAUGUUGUUACUUACUCAACGUUUUAAACUAAAAAUGCUUUUGUCAUCCACAUAUACACUUUUUUAGCUUCGCUUUUCCAGCAAACACAGACAGACACUCUGAUGAGCUCAAACACUCGGUUAUUUGCCUUGACAUUAAUUCAAACUCACUGAGUUUCCUAUGAUUCUUAUUCUUAUGACUUAUGACUAUGAAAUGAUUUUAAUCAUACCAGUCCUCUAAAUUUAGGGGUGUGUUUCUUUCAUUUGUGCAGGUUGCAAAGUGCUUCUUUUCAAAGGGAUCUAACAUCAAACAAAUAUAAUCAAAUAUUUACAGCCUUAAGUUUGAAAUAAUCAGGUCUUGGCGUCUUUAAAUAUAUAUUCAACACAGACUGCAAACUAGUUAUUAUAUAAUUGGAAGACUUUAUGAAGCUGGUUUACUGCAUGCACUAACAGUAUACAAUCAAAUGUUAGGAGAAAAACAAAAAGAACGCACAGUCUGCAAAAUCUCUGACUGUCUCUCCGGAGCCUCCUUACUGGUGUCCUCGUCUUGUUGUCAUAGCGAUCAUCAGAGGAGUGACAAGAAGAGUGGCUAAAGCUGGUGAAAACAAGCCCCAGCAUGCAGCACAACUGCAGGGGUUUUAAGAGGAGAUGAAAUGAGCGGGAAGAUGUUUCUUGGCAACCACAUAUUUUGAGGUUUGUAGGGGUAAAUAUUGAUGAGCUUAUGGUGGUGCUUCUUUUUUCUUUUUUUUAGAGACUUUUCUGUUUUUAAACAACUUACCAUUUUGGAGAGUUACUACACACCUUGUCCCUGUUUAAAAAGCACAUUUUCCUGUUUGAGGUUCUGGCUUAUAACUGGCUCACUCAUCUGAUUUCAGGUGCUUUGCCAUCAGACCUUUGACUCUUUCACGUGUGCUGUCUGCAGGUUCAUGGUCUGUCUGUGUGUAGAAGGUGGUCAUGUGAUCUGAGACUUUAACAUGCACUGAUCUCCAAUAAGAAAAGUAUUUAUUUUUGUUUUUGCUGAAAAAUCCGCUGGAGCUGAAGAUUCAGGAAUGUUGCUUUCAAGAGACCAUCCGAUGGUGUUGUGGGUAGUUUCAGAGCUUUAACUGGAUCCAGACAAGAAAAACAAACCUCCUACAUAUGUAGUUUGGAAAACUACAUGGCAGAAAAUGUAUUAUAGAUGAGGAAUAAAUAUGUUUUGUUGUGCUAAACAAGACAUGGUUUGGUGUUUUAAGACAGAGUAACAGGGCCUUAAAUAAAACCGCCCUGAUUGUAAAUAUUGAAGCUAAUGUACUGCAAUGCAAAGAAAAUGUCUGAACUUUUCUUUGAUUAUUUUUGGGGUCUUCUCCUUUUUUUUUUUAAUUCAUGAGUUUGUUCAUGUUUACAUUAACUGUUUGUGCCUUUAUAAAAUCCCUGUUCAAAGCCUGAAAGUAAAUGUAAAAUGAAAUGUUUAUCAGGUCAAAAUGUUCUCUUUUGAUGUUAAAGCUAUAAAACAUGGAACUAUUUUGAUAAUGUUUCUGUGUUUGUUGCUUUUUUAUUUGUAUUGGUCCACCCACAGAAAUGUGUUUUUUUUUUUAAACUAAUGGCAGGCUUCUGUCUGUUCACACAUGACGCACCUGUGUCUAACACCUUUCUGCACUCGCUCACACAACAGUCGAAGCUGUUAAAUAAAAUUAGAUCAGUAGAUAUUAAUAAUAAAACUGUUAGAAAAGGGUUUUUUGAUCCUUAAAUUUGCAAUGACCUUUCACCCCUGCUGUUCUCAUUUUCACCCUUCCAAAGUUUUCUGCCCCGUAAAAACGCUCUAGCAAUGGUUUCAGUUGGCUCUUUUUAAAGUUCUGGUAAAACCGGCAGGAUGACCAGCAGCCGUAUAAGUGACAGCAUUUUUGUAAGUGGAUGAUUUAUUCUGAAGUCAAGCUACAGUAUUAGUCUUUAUCCACACCUUUACAGGUGCAGCCGAUCUAACCGGUUGGCUACUCAUCAUCACUAUUGACUUUUGCUCUGCCAUCAUAAAGCUGAGGGCACAAAGGUUCAACACCAGUCCGUCACUGUAAAUGGGACUAAUUUUAGUCUAGUCGGCAUCAAAAAUCUGAUAACAGAGAAGCUUGACUUUAAAAAGAUUACUAUCAGUUACUCCUGGUCUGCAUGCGAGUUUACUAUCUGAGAGUUUCCGUUACUUUCGAAACCCAGACCUGUUUGCUCUUCAUAGACAUGCCGGAAGAGCGUCAUUAUGGUCACCGUGGAAGAAAAUAUGUCUGCAACAAAAACACUAUGUUGCUAAUGUUGUUGUUUGUUUGUGAGAAGGAAACAGCGGUUGCUUUGGAAACGCAAUGCUGCUUCGGGUCUCAUAUCUUGCUGAUGUGACUUCCAACUGCUGUUUUUUAUUUCUUUUUUUGCGCAUGCGCAGAUACCUGCUGGACAGCUUUGUGGAGAGUAAUGUACAUGUGUUAAUGUAUUCGCUCAUUAUUAAUGAAUGAAGAACAUCAGAUAUUGAUGGAUAUGUGAUGUGUACAGCAUUCAGAGCUGCAUGUCUAGUGUUAUUCAUAAACAGAGCCAAACUGCUUCAUCUGGGUUUAAAAAGCUGCUGUAAAGCAGCAAUAAAGAGCAAACUGCAGGCGCUUGACUGAGUAUUUCAUGAAACCAGUUUGUUUCAGCUUUAGGGGAGGUCUAGAUGUUUCUAAACAACAAUCCAACAUGUCUGAGUGUCUCAUUCACUCAGCUUCUUCACUCCUUAACCACUUAAAGGUGUUCCAAAUAAACAUUAAAGGACUAAUUGCCCCAAAAAAUGGAAAUAUGAUGAAUCCGACAUGCACAUGGAUGGCAGACAGCUUCCGCUGUCUCCACUUGAAAUAAAAAAUGUAAAUAUAUAGUGGUUUAAGAAUAAUAGGCUAAGAGGAAGUAAAACUGUCUGUUGAUGGAGUAAAAACAAAAGAUGUUUCUAAAUUUAGAUUCCUUAACUUUUGAUGAACAUUUGUCCUGCAAGCCCCAUAUACAAUAUAAUAGUAAAUAAAAAAAGAUAUUAAAUAAAAACACAAAGAUUUUGGAAGAAAGAAAUAGUAUUAAUCAAUGUAAACACGUCACACUCAAACAUGUUUCUGCCAACUUCCUGGUUAACUUCAGCAGUAAACCAAAAAAGCGUAAACAGUCCUGUUGUUUUGGAUCAUUUUAGAAUAAAUCCUGGAAAUGUUCUCCACAGUUUUUUCUAUCUUCAAAGUUUAGCUGACUACAGUUCCAGUAGAUCACCGACAAGAAGAUAGUAAACGAAGACACAACAACUCCUCAGUAACCCUUGUGCUAUCCUAGGCACUUUAACAUUGGGAGUUGGGUCAUCUAGACCCACUAGACAGUGCUCUGAACCUUUUUUCUUCAAUGAUUUGUGAACCUCACUGGUGUCCAUGGAUUACAUGAAAUCUUUAAACCUUUAUCCACCUUUGUCAUGGUAGGGAGAACACCUCAAUGGAAGGGUGGGGUCAUCUAAGAUAGGACAAGGGUCACCCCCCCCCCCCCCCGUCCUUCCAUCUAAACUGAUAACAUUGUUCUCUACGAACCGACUUUUUUCAGACAACAUCCAGUAUGGCUUCUCCAUCAUGCUAGCAGGAAGUCAUGCAACGUCACAUAAACUGAUUAAGACAUUUUUGUGAUAUUCCUUAAUUUUUAUUCAUGAUGUUUUUUUUAUUUAAAUUGGCAACUAUAUUUAAAGUAUUUCUUUUUUCAAAACUUAUUUCAUUAUACUGAACUUGGG
Oryzias sinensis (Chinese medaka) is the source of this 4908-nucleotide long non-coding RNA. NCBI's taxonomy places the organism in Eukaryota, Metazoa, Chordata, Actinopteri, Beloniformes, Adrianichthyidae. The record is from Ensembl.